CGAGUACCUAAUCUUCCAGCUUUUGCAUUGGAGUGUCUUCCUAAUCGGAACUCUUUGGUUUAUGGGGAAUUUUAUGGCAUUGAGAGCGAAGCAACAACAAUAUUUCGUGGAACCCUCAGAUAUGAAGGAUUUAGUAUGAUAAUGGCAACACUUUCAAAACUCGGAUUCUUUGACAAUGAAGCCAA
Molecule: non-coding RNA, 185 nt
Organism: Camelina sativa (false flax)
Lineage: Eukaryota; Viridiplantae; Streptophyta; Magnoliopsida; Brassicales; Brassicaceae
Source: RefSeq, a predicted model, not a curated record